AAAUUUGCAGAAUUGCUCUUGCAUCUGGAGGCUGCUUGAGGCCGCGGGCCAGCCCAGGUUCCCGUGACGUUGGUUCGAGGAGGGCGGCUAGGCGGAGGAUGAGUCUCCAUCAAGUUUGAUGAGUAAAUGGAAAAUGGCGGCUGAAUCUCCGUCAGAGGCCGGUCGAUCAAUGCAGUGGUGGAAUUGGCAAAAGAGGAGAGAUGGUGAGGAAAAGGGUUUCGAAGUUUGGGGAUUUUUUCAUUUUUGUAAUUAGAUUGUUG
RNAcentral lists this long non-coding RNA (260 nucleotides) under Salvia miltiorrhiza (redroot sage). Its description in RNAcentral is "long non-coding RNA (SMIL_LNC014387)". The record is from RNAcentral. Lineage: Eukaryota; Viridiplantae; Streptophyta; Magnoliopsida; Lamiales; Lamiaceae.